RNAcentral lists this ribosomal RNA (617 nucleotides) under Ustilago avenae. RNAcentral describes it as "LSU rRNA". It matches the Rfam family "Eukaryotic large subunit ribosomal RNA", at positions 78 to 676 of the family's 3401-position model. The record is from RNAcentral. Lineage: Eukaryota; Fungi; Basidiomycota; Ustilaginomycetes; Ustilaginales; Ustilaginaceae.
CCCUAGUAACGGCGAGUGAAGAGGGAAGAGCCCAAGAUUGAAAGCUGGCGUCUUUGGCGUCUGCAUUGUAAUCUCAAGAAGUGUUUUCCGCUUUGGACCAUGCCUAAGUCCCUUGGAAAAGGGCAUCAUAGAGGGUGAUAAUCCCGUACAUGGCAUGGAGCGCCCGAAGCUUUGUGAUACACUUUCUAAGAGUCGAGUUGUUUGGGAAUGCAGCUCAAAAUGGGUGGUAAAUGCCAUCUAAGGCUAAAUAUUGGGGAGAGACCGAUAGCGAACAAGUACAGUGAUGGAAAGAUGAAAAGAACUUUGAAAAGAGAGUUAAACAGUACGUGAAAUUGCCAAAAGGGAAGGGUAGGAGGUCAGAGAUGCGGUCUGGGAUUCAGCCUUGCUUUUGCUGGGUGUUUUUCUCAGAUUGCAGGCCAACGUCGGUUUUGGGCGCUGGAGAAGGGUGGAAGGAAUGUGGCACCUCUCGGGGUGUGUUAUAGCCUUCUACUGGAUACAGUGACCGAGACCGAGGACAGCAGCGUACUCGCAAGAGCGGGCCUUCGGGCACCUUUACGCUUAGGGCGUUGGCAUAAUGGCCCUCUACCACCCGUCUUGAAACACGGACCAAGGAGUCU